Molecule: long non-coding RNA, 588 nt
Filed under: Panax ginseng (ginseng)
Lineage: Eukaryota; Viridiplantae; Streptophyta; Magnoliopsida; Apiales; Araliaceae
Description: long non-coding RNA (PGIN_LNC007571)
Source: RNAcentral
AAAAAUAUAGUGACUACCCUUUUAAGCAAGAAUUAAUUAGUGUUCUUCACGACACAUCACAUCUAAAGGACAGGACUAAGAAGCGUGUGGCGGAAAAAAAGAGAGAAAAAGAUGGAAGGAAGAGUUUCUCUAUUUCUCUCUCAGACAAAAAUAAUCAAAGGGGACAUCUUUUCUUCAUAGCUUUCUUCUUUUGGGGCUUUAUCUGAUCUCUUUUUCUCUGGUCAAAAGAACCCAAAUGUUCAUUUUCACCAAAAUCAUCAUCAUCAUUAUGAUAAAAUACAUAUGAUGAAUUUGCAAUCCACUUCCCUAAUACCAAAGCUUACACUUCUAAAGAGUGAAAUGAUUCAAACCCAGAUCAGAAAAAAUAAAAAAAAGUUAAGAGACAAGAAAGUAAUAAUAACAAUCAAUCCCACCCCAAGAGAUCAACAGUACUGACCCACUAAAAUGUGUAGUGAGUAACACACACAAAUUCAAAGGAUUGUAAAGAAGUUGAAAGAAUGAAUGGGAAGAAGACUCCUCUUGCCAAGUUUAGAGAGAGGAGAGAGAAAACGGUAUGUGACUGUGAGAAAGAGAGAGGAAAGAGCAAAU